RNAcentral lists this ribosomal RNA (553 nucleotides) under Nocardia sp. Its description in RNAcentral is "bacterial SSU rRNA". It matches the Rfam family "Bacterial small subunit ribosomal RNA", at positions 96 to 664 of the family's 1533-position model. Lineage: Bacteria; Bacillati; Actinomycetota; Actinomycetes; Mycobacteriales; Nocardiaceae. The record is from RNAcentral.
CGGCGACGGGUGAGUAACACGUGGGUGAUCUGCCUUGCACUCUGGGAUAAGCCUGGGAAACUGGGUCUAAUACCGGAUAUGACCUUCGAUCGCAUGAUUGUGGGUGGAAAGAUUUAUCGGUGCAAGAUGAGCCCGCGGCCUAUCAGCUUGUUGGUGGGGUAAUGGCCUACCAAGGCGACGACGGGUAGCCGGCCUGAGAGGGCGACCGGCCACACUGGGACUGAGACACGGCCCAGACUCCUACGGGAGGCAGCAGUGGGGAAUAUUGCACAAUGGGCGGAAGCCUGAUGCAGCGACGCCGCGUGAGGGAUGACGGCCUUCGGGUUGUAAACCUCUUUCGACUCCGACGAAGCGAAAGUGACGGUAGGAGUAUAAGAAGCACCGGCCAACUACGUGCCAGCAGCCGCGGUAAUACGUAGGGUGCGAGCGUUGUCCGGAAUUACUGGGCGUAAAGAGCUUGUAGGCGGCUUGUCGCGUCGAUCGUGAAAACUCGGGGCUCAACCCCGAGCUUGCGGUCGAUACGGGCAGGCUUGAGUACUUCAGGGGAGCCUUG